This 361-nucleotide ribosomal RNA is filed under the name Laonice sp. s HW-2021. Its description in RNAcentral is "partial large subunit ribosomal RNA". It matches the Rfam family "Bacterial large subunit ribosomal RNA", at positions 2049 to 2608 of the family's 2925-position model. The record is from RNAcentral. Lineage: Eukaryota; Metazoa; Annelida; Polychaeta; Spionida; Spionidae.
AAUAUAAAUAAAAAUUACCACUUAGGUGAAGAGGCCUAAAUAAUAUAAAAAGACAAAAAGACCCUAUGGAGCUUUAUUUAACAACUCUUCCCACCUACACCCAUAACCCCCCAAGAAUAGUUAAAUUUAGUUGGGGCGACUGGGGAAAACUAUAAAUCUUCCCCCAAAAUAAGAAAAUAAAUCUACCAACAAUCCGUUACACGAAUAUAAAACCAGCUACCCUAGGGAUAACAGGCUAAUUCUUCCCGAGAGCCCACAUUAACGGAAGAGAUUGGCACCUCGAUGUUGGCUUAGGAUACCUACAAGAUGUAGAAGUCUUGAAAGUGGGUUUGUUCAACCCUUAAAAUCCUACGUGAUCUGA